UACGUAGGGUGCGAGCGUUGUCCGGAAUUAUUGGGCGUAAAGGGCUCGUAGGCGGUUUGUCGCGUCGGGAGUGAGAACCUCGGGCUUAACUCGGGGCUUGCUUUCGAUACGGGCAGACUGGAGGUAUGCAGGGGAGAACGGAAUUCCUGGUGUAGCGGUGAAAUGCGCAGAUAUCAGGAGGAACACCGGUGGCGAAGGCGGUUCUCUGGGCAUGACCUGACGCUGAGGAGCGAAAGUGUGGGGAGCGAACAGG
RNAcentral lists this ribosomal RNA (253 nucleotides) under uncultured bacterium. RNAcentral's name for it is "partial 16S ribosomal RNA". It matches the Rfam family "Bacterial small subunit ribosomal RNA", at positions 524 to 776 of the family's 1533-position model. The record is from RNAcentral.